Molecule: long non-coding RNA, 43635 nt
Filed under: Malus domestica (apple)
Lineage: Eukaryota; Viridiplantae; Streptophyta; Magnoliopsida; Rosales; Rosaceae
Description: long non-coding RNA (MDOM_LNC002350)
Source: RNAcentral
GUCUCCUCCAGAAAACCAACCUCCACUUUUCAUCAAACUUCCACAGCCCAACACCCUCCUCCUCCGCAACCAGUAAUGGCAGCCACCUCCUCCGCCUUGUUCUCAGCCCCGUCCAUCUCCUCCACAGCCACAAGGCACCACCAAACCCUAUCACCAACCCAAAUCUCCUUCCAAGGCCUCAGACCCCUCACCAAGUCCUCCCCUCCCACCAAGCUUGGUUUGCAUGCACCCAGCACCAGGAGAAGUUCAUGCGUCGUCAAAGCUGAGCUGAACCCAUCACUGGUCAUCAGCCUGAGCACCGGACUCUCUCUCUUCCUUGGGAGGUUUGUUUUCUUCAACUUCCAGAGAGAGAAUGUGGCCAAGCAAGGGUUGCCGGAGCAGAACGGGGUGACGCACUUUGAGGCUGGGGACACUAGGGCUAAGGAGUAUGUGAGCCUCCUCAAGUCUAAUGACCCUGUUGGGUUCAACAUUGUGGAUGUUUUGGCUUGGGGUUCUAUCGGUCACAUCGUGGCUUACUACAUCUUGGCCACCUCUAGCAAUGGCUAUGAUCCCAAGUUCUUUGAAUAAAUAUUAUCAUUUUGAAUUUAAAUUUGAGUUGAAUCCAUAUCAUGUUGUUGUGAGGUCUCUCUCUUGUUUGUAAUUUGUAUAGCUUAUCAAUGAAUCGCUAGUUUGGGAAGUUCUUAUGCUUUUCUUUGUUGUUUUAUUUUUUGUUUCGUGGUUCUUCGAAGUAACAACACUAGAGGCAGGACUAUAGCCAAUUAAGUUCUUCGUUUUGAGUUUGAAUGCAUGUGUUUUGUUGGAAUUUGGAAUUUACUACUUGCUAUUAUUUCAUGUUCUCAAAGGUAUCCAAAUCCAUCAUGCAAUGCACUCUUUCAAAUCUUUGGAUUGAACCCCCCUUGAGGCAUCAACAACUAUGAUGAAUUUGGGACAUUCCUUAUUUCAUAGUUUUGGAGUACCAUUCUUUUUCGGGUAAAUUGUUGUUUGACCCCCUGAACUAUUUUUUUGGUAAAUUAACCUCCUAAACUAUUUAAAAUCAGCCAAUUAACCCCUUAACGUUAGACGUCCAUUAUUUUGUCAAAUUCAAGGGCAAAUUAGUCUUUUUGUCAUCAAUUUGUACAUGUCACUUAUAACUACCAAUAAAAUUAUGACACGUGGACACAGAAUAACGUGUAAUGACAAUGUAAAAUGGUCUGUUAUGCAAACGUUUGGUUUCUUUAUGUUUCUUAUUAUGCUAUAAGUUUUUGAAUUAUUCUGUGUCCACGUGUCAUUAUUUUAUUGGUGGUUAUAACUAACUAGUAAGAAUUGAUGAUAAAAAAGAUUAAUUUGCCCUUGAAUCUGACGGAAUAGUGGACGGAAUCUAACGAAAAAUGGUUAAUUGGCUGCUUUUAAAUAGUUCGGGGAGUUAAUUUACCAAAAAAUUAGUUUAGGGGGUCAAUUUCAACUAAAGUAAUAAUUUAAGGGGUCAAACCGCAUUUACCCUUCUUUUUCGGAUACUCUUAAUAUGGUGAUGCAACAAAAUUAAUUUGAUUAUGGACAUUCACCUCUCCCAGACCCUGCGUAAAGCGGGAGCCUUGUGCACUGGGUACGACCUUUUUAUAUGUUUUUUUUAUCGACAAAAAGAUAUUUUUAACUAUUUUAAUUUAUGCGAAAUGAGGUUUGAAUUUGGAUGAAAAGGAGCUAUCACUUGACUAAAUGACCUGACUUACAUGUUUAAGCCCACAUAAGCGUAGUUUCUUCACUCAAAUUAAAAGUUAGAAAAAAAUACAGAAAUCUACUAAAUUCAGGCAAAAUCGAUGAACUUAAACAUAUCAUGAAUAUAAUCAUCUAAUUUUUGGAACUUUAGCACGAUUUAUAUUAUGAUGAAAUCCUUAUGAUUUCAUAAAAAAUGUUACUCUUAUCUUAUCACAUUUUUCAUACCACGUUUAUAACACUUCGUAUUCGUAAGCCCUAUUUCUAUUAGAGAAGUGAUACAAUUAUGAUAUGUAUCAUUUACUCUUAGAAAUCACAUUCUAUACUCCGUCUUCUUUCUCUUUUCCCUUGGAACUUAAUAUGCUCUUUCAUAUUUCUACUUUUAUUAACAGAAAAAGGAGUAAAAGGAAGGGGUCCAAACUGUACAGAAUCUUAUUAAUUUUAGCCAACAAAAGUACCUAUCAUGGCUUUGCCUUCCCAAAUAUGUGUUUUACCAAAACCAUCAGCCCAUCCCCAUUCUUCAUCUACACUCAAAAUAUUUCUCUUCAGUUAGUUAAAAACAUUUUAUCUAAAAUCUAAGCUUUUGAUUUCGAAUCUUUAUAUCUAUUUGUCUCCACUCUUGUGUAAAUACAAGUUUAAAUUUUCUUAUCAUAAAUUUUGAAUUAAUUUAUAUUAUCGUUUGUAUCGACAACCAAUAAAUAAAGUUUCAAUCUUUAAUUAUUAGGAAAGUAUUCUAGGGCCUAGUCAUAUCCAAUAUCUUAGGAAAAGGAUCAUCUUUGUGGGAUCCGAGGGAUCAAGCAAUCACGGUCGUUGCAUCAUAUAUCAUGCUAUUAUAAAUCAGUUUAAAUUUAAAAUUGAAUAUAAAUAGUAUAUAAUGAAAAUUAAACGCAUGAUAUACGAUGAACAGUCGUGAUUGCUUGAUCCCCGAAUCUCCACAUGCUUUUCCAAUAUCUUUAUAUAAUCAUAUAAUUUGACUAAAAUAAAAAGGGUGGUCCGUGCCUUCUGGUAAUCUAGCAUCUUAAUCCAUCAAAUCUUUACCCUCCCUUUUUUCUCUCUAACAAAAUGUCUGAGGUCCCAACACCAAAAAUUACAGAAAAGGAGAAGCCUUCUUCUUCCUCAGCCACUUCAGCUCACCAACAACAACUCCUCUCUCUCCCCGCCAAUGGGUCUUCUCUCUCAUCCCCCGCCUCCGCUCCAAAGGCUUAUCCUUCACCCACAGCAACGUACGAGGAAGUCGUUCAAAGCUCCGACCUUUUCUGGGAAAAGCUCAAGGAGUUUCACGAUUCGUUCAGAACCAAAUUCAUGUACGUUUUGGGUUUUGUCCCUUUUGUGAAAGCUUUGAUUUUGUAUAUUUGGGUCGUUUGGUGAAUUGGGUUGUGUUUGUUUUGCUGUUUUGGGUCUUGAUAUGUUGGCAGAAUUGGAAAAUUAUAGUUUGUAUUGACAUUGAAUUUGCGUGUUGCUACUACAGUUGACUGGUUUGAUCAAUUCAUGUAAUUUGGCUCGGUUCGUUUUUCUUACAACUUAGAUUUCGUUUUGUUGGGCUAUUUGAUGAAUUGGGUGGGUUGUUUUUGUUUUGCUAUUUUGGGUCUUAAUAUGUUGGAAUAAUUGGAAAAUUAUAUAUUUGUGUCGUGUUUUUAUCUUUUCAUUGCCUCACUUGGACUAUUGGAUCUAACGGAAGACAUGACACAAAACUGAGCGUGGCAUUCUAGGAUUCAUAUAGCCGACUCUGCUUAGUGGGAUAAGAUUUUGUUGUUGUUGUAUUGCCUCACUUGAUAUACUUCCAUUGUUUUUGCAUGUUGCAUGCUUCAAUUGACUGGUUUUAAUCAAAACUAUGUUGCCUAUUCCUCGGUUUGAAUUGAUUGAAUGGUGACUGACUGAAAAUUUUGGACUGCAUUGUACACAUUGUUUCGAGUAUUUUUAGCAAAGUCAGGAUAUUUUUUUUGGGAUUCUAGAAGUUCAGUUGAAUGCUGAUAUCAAAUUUAUAUCCCCUGUGGUGUCUCUCUCUAUUUGAGUUUGAGUUAGGGAUGGUGGACAAUGAGCAAUCCCGAGAUUUAUUGCAAUGCAAUUCAUCAUUUCCACAUACCACCUAUAAUAUUGGCUCACGUUAUCCUUCUUUUUUCUUUGCCAUUAGUAAGAUUAUUGUUUCUUACCAAGAUCUGAGUUUGUCAUUCAUGAGAGAUGCUUCAUUCAAGAAAAUUGGAAUUUCCCAAAUCUUCGUUAGUCAUUGUUUCCUUUGCAUAACUUUAAUAAAUGGGGAUUUGAUUUUCUUGAUGUCUACUUUUGAGCUGAAAUUUUCCAUGUAUGCAGCAUUACUAGACCAAAAACAGCACCAUGUCGUGGAGAAAUUACGACAGUUUCCUUUUUGAGGAUUUAAGAAUUGCUAAUUUAUUUUAGUAUGCUAUCUUUUGAUGUUGGUAUUUUUUAGCUGUUAUAACCUUAUAUUUCUUCAUUCUUAUUUUGUGGUCAUGGAAACCUACUUUCCAUGUUGAGAUAUUAAUGCGUCUUCAAUUGCUUAGUUUAUUGCUUAUCCUUGUGAAUUUGCAUUUGGUUUUGAUACCUUACAGAAGCAUAAAUAGGCUUUUUGGUAACUAGGAAAAGUUAUCAGUGAUGGUCAGUGAAAUCCUGAAACUGGGUCAUUUUAUGAGAUGUCUGAAAGUAUUUCUUCAUUAGUAUUGAAGUAGGUUAGUUUGAAGGAUACAGUCUAAGGGGUGCAGAAAUAAGCUGUUUAUGAAUGUGGACUUUGUCAUGCCACGAUUCUUUUUGUGCAUCAGAAACCGUUCCUAAACUGCUGUGCUGAUUGUAUAACUUAUUUCCUUUCAUAGUUUAUAGGCAUUGAUGAAAACUUAGUUAGGACGGCCUGGCUUGAACAGGAUCUGUCCUAUAGGAUCAUAUGUCUGAGUCCUUGAGUUCAUGAAAAUUUAGUGUAAAGUACAGAAAAAACGGAAAGUCCAUGAGGAUAAGAUUAGCCCUCUUUGUGCAGGAUUCCUACCGUAGGAGGAAAAACUCUGGAUCUACAUCUCCUUUUUGUAGAAGUCACAUCUCGUGAUGGGCUUGAAAAGGUUCGUUCAUUUUGCUUUUCUGUUUAAUGGUUGUUUAUAUGAGAUUCUUAAGCUGAGUUAAACUUAUUGCCUAUGUUAAUCUUCAUCCUUUUCUUUUCUCCCUUAUUUUGGAGCCAUUCUAAAGUUCCUUUUUUAUGUUUUGAAUUUUAUUUCACUUUAAAUUCUCUUAAACUGGUUACAGGUGAUUAGAGAUCGCAAAUGGAAGGAAGUGAUUACAGCCUUCAAUUUCCCAACAACAAUUACCAGUGCUUCGUUUGUCUUACGGAAGUACUACUUGUCUUUGCUGUAUCACUUUGAGCAGGCCUAUUAUUUCCACAAAGAAGUUUAUAGCAUACCAGUGCUUGGUAAUUGAAGACAGGGGUCCUUGUUGAUUUUGUGUCAUUUCAUGUAUUUUAUUGAUUGGAAAAUAUAUGGUUUUCUUGUUUCCUUUUUGCCAGAGCCUCUAAGGAAGAACCUUUUCAAUGGGUCAGCCACCGUGGAGGAAGGUGCAAGUAGAAACCAAUUUCCAGGUCAGGGUAGGCUUAACCUCCAUCUCGAUGUUAUGGUUCUAAUAGUGGUUGCGCCACACUAGUUGUAGAAGUAGAACCAUAUAACUAUGAGUAUGUUUUCUCUUUGGUGUCUACAUUAAACUGUAAGUUUCCAGAAAACCUUUUAUGUGCAAUUGUAGAGUAUACCUCCUGUUGACAAUUCUCAGAAGAAAUCGUAUGAAAUAAUUCUGUAACUUCUUAAAGUUAGAUAGUUGAAUAAAAAAAUUUCUUGCUAGUGGUCAAGCUUUUCUGAUGGCCCUUUUGAGAUAAUCUUCGGAAAGCUGCAAUGAAAUAGAUAAACAACAUAGGAACUUCUAUUAAGAAAUAUGGAUGAACCACAUUGUAAAUUUUAUAGGGAAUCUGUCUUAUAACUUUAUGACUUGCUAUGAUGCUUUUACUGUCGUCUUUCUAAUUCAGUAUCAUUAUUUCCUAGUUCCUUGACCUUAUUGAUAGCAUCUAGUUAUUUGAUCUGCAAGGCCGUGAAUUAAUUGCAAUAUGGAUCUGUUUUCUCUAUCUUAUGUACAGAAAGCACAGAAGUGCAGCUUGGUUGUUCAAUCAUGGGAACCAUUGAUGGGAAAUUUGACAGUGGAUAUCUGGCUACUGUCAACUUGGGUUCUGAUGAACUGAAAGGUGUCUUGUAUCAUGCUCCUACAUCUACAUAUGUUUCUCAGAGCUUUUCGGACAUGCCUACUCGACGGAACCGAAAGAGAUCCAGGUUGGCAUUACGUGAUCCCUUUCGGCCCAAGUCAAACAGGAGUGGUUACAAUUUCUUCUUCGCUGAGCAUUAUGCCAGAUUAAAACCUUUGUACUAUGGGCAAGAGAGAGCCAUCAGCAAGAAAAUUGGGUAUCUAUGGAACAAUCUCACAGAGGCUGAGAAACAGGUAUAGUGAGUUGGUGACAUUUUUUUUUUUUUUUUUUUUUUUUUUCAGUUAGUCCUUUUUCGCUCGUAACGUCCCAAGCUAAUUUCAUUAUCGUAUAUUUGUGUUCCGGUAUAGAUCUAAGGUUUGAGAAGAAGUUUCACAUGCUUGGAUAGAAUUACUAUUUUCAUCUCCUUUUGUGUUGAUUCUCAACACUUCUAACUUGCGGUAUAUUGGAAGUCUUCUUGAAGUGUUCAUCAUAACACUCCGUUGCUGCGUUGCAGGUUUAUCAGGAUAAAGCGAUGAAGGACAAGGAGAGAUACAGGACCGAACUGCUGGAAUAUAAAUCUUCCUACAAUCCUACGCAGCAAUAGCCUCCAUGUUCGUUAGAUAGGCAACUUGUUUCGUAGGCAUCAUUUUCCUCUCUUGUAUGCCUUUUUGUAGUAGUUGUCAUCGUUGCCGGUAUUUAACCUAGUUCGGUUUUCAUUUUUCUUUGGUAAGGUUACCCCUCAGUAUGCCCCAUCCGCGGAAAAGAAUUGCGGAAGGGGUGAAAGGGGGCAGCUCUUUGUAACAGCUGUUGAAUUUGCCUUCACUUUGGAUUAGUAGGAUUCCAUUGCAGUGACGAUCUUUGAUAUUUCUUGACAUUCCAAUGUAACAAUAGUAAUUCCUGGAACUGCAGUCUAAAAUUUAAGGGAGCUUAUUUUCACACACAAUCUUUAGCCUUCUACACAGCCCUCACACAUAUUCCUGACAUCGGAUUGAAUAAAUGAAAUAGAAAACACGAUUCGGAUUGAAUAAAUGAAAUAGAAAACACGAUUAGGAUUAAAUAAGCGUGUAGGAGGAGAAAAAUUAUUUGUAAUUUCCAAAAUUUAUAGGUGGAUUGAAAAGUUUUGAACAUUAUGCAAUGUUUACGAGCUCGUUUGAAAGUGCUUUUAAAAUGACUGAAUGCUCUUUUGGUGAAAUUGAUUUUGGGUUCCAAAAGUACUCAAGUGCCUUUUGGAAGAAAUACCAGAUAUGUACUUUUUCAAGAAAGCACUUAAAUGUUUUUUCAUGAUCUACUUGGAUUUUUACUAAAUAUUGGUUUUAAAAACAUUUUCAUCAAAAAGACUUACAGUCAUUUCAAAAAGACUUCCAAAUGAUACAACACCUAAUGUACGCAGAUCACUACAACUGACUUUUGAGCUAGUUAGAAUUAUUUUUUAUCUUGGGGUUUCUAUCUAUUUUUAAUCUCAUCAUCCAAGAAAAUGUUAAACACAAAAGCAUAAAAAAAAACAAAAUGAAUUACGCCACCAUCUCAAAUUUAUUGAGUGAUAUUUUAACGUAAUCUAAAUUGCAAGGAGAAGAUCAACUAAUACAAUAAUUUAGAAAUAUUUUUCUUUGUUUUUAAGUAACAUGUUUCAAAUUUGACUUACAUAGACAGCGAGGGAGUAUUGUAAUUAUGUCAAGUUUGAUACCUAAUUAAUGGCUGACUUAGCCUAGUCCCCCUCUCCUUAGAGUAAAAUAUAUUGUAACAAAAUUAUAGAGAGAGGUAACUAAGUGGGAUGAUAGAGAGAGGUAACUAAGUGGGAUGAGGCAGUGCAUUAUUAUCCUGGUCAACUUUGGCUAUGCCAAGUCCUACAUUUUUUACUUUCAAAUAUGAUUAUUACUUGCUUUCUUAAUCAACUAGAAGUAAAACUAUUGGCUUAGGAAAUACAUUUUAACGGAUACUUUUUACCUUUCAUAACGUGGUAAUACAUGUUUUACCUUAAUUAAUUAGUUCCCCUUCAAACAAACAAAAUGUAUACAUAAGUAAUGAUUUUCUUUUUGACACACAAUAUGAUAUUUUAAUACAAACAGACAAUACAAUAUGUGAAUUGGAACAUUAGAGCUCUUAAACUCGUACAUUGUACAACUAAGUGAAAAAAGCUAAACUAUAGUUAGAUGAAAGGUAGUCAUUUAGUACUACGAUAUAAUGAUAUUCUUCGAUCUAGUUGUUCAUUUUCACUUGUAAGUGAUCUUAUGUUUGAUUAUUGUCAAAAGCAAAUUUGAGCCAAAUUAUUGUCUAUUGUGAGGUUUAGCCUAACUCCUCUUUUUCGUACGAUAGAUAAAAUCGUUUGUUAAAAAAAGUUAAACAAAAAGCUUGCUGGUCAAAGACUCAAAUGCAACGACUUCCUUCACACAUUUUCUUUCGUCAAAGCAUUAAGUAGAAUUUAAAUUCCUUGCUCAUAAAAUUGGAAACAUGGAGGCCAUUCAAAGGUUUGAAACCGCGUGGAAACAAAAGGAUAGAAGAAAUAAAUUGGAAAAUUUGCUCCUCUAAUCACUUUCUUAUUUAGACUCUAGUCAUGUGUGUGGUGAGUGGUGAAUGGUGGGAACAUGAGGGCAGUGCAUCAUAUGCAAUUAUAUAAUUGGAGAAACGUUUGAAAAUAAAAACUUUUCACCACUUGUAUAUUAACAUUUGGCGUACCAUUACGUGUUUUGAGUGUACUGAAAAAUCUAGUGAAUGGUGGUAUGAGAUGUGAAAAUUCACAUAAAAGAGGAUCAAAAGGGAUAAUAAUGACAUGCAUUAACUUAAAGGAUGGCGAUAAGCACGGAUUUUGAAACUAACCCAAGAGAGUUCCCACUUUGCUAGGCUUCUUGCCCCCUUUUAAUUUCCUCUCCUUGAUAGAGUAGGAAAUCCUUUUGGGAUUUUAUUCUAAUUAGAAAAAUGAGAUUUUUUAAUAUAUGCUGCGAAUAUCUUAUGUAUUGAAAAUUUUAAUCAAUAUAUUAUUGGUUAAAGAUUCAACAAUUAAAGUUGCAAACGUUUAAAAAUUUAGUGUAUAAAGUACAUCAAAGUAUAGUAAAUUUUUUAUUAAAAAAUAGUGGAAUAAUUUAUCAUUGAUUAACACUUAUAAAGGGUAACACAAAUAAGAAGAGAAAAAAAAAAUCCUUAAAAAAAAGAAGACAAAAAGCUAAUUUUUGGGGUUGGAGGAAUAAUUACAAAGAAAAGAUUGUAUCCUAAAUUUUUGUGAAAACUGAGAGAAUUCCGGAUGAUUGGCCUUGGAGUAUCUUCCAAGGAAGAUUAAAAUUAAAUUAUAAUGUAAGAUAAAAAUUAGAAAAAAAAAAUUAAAGGAAGAAAUUCCAAAAACCCUUACUCUUUGGGGCAGGUAUGGUUUAGUGUUGUAAGUGGGGCUCCUAAAUACUCGUAGUGGGAUAGAAGAGAGUGGCACACUUCAUACUAAACAGUACUACCUAAACCUUUGUUUGGAUGGAGUUUAAUUUUUCAUUUUUCAUUGAACUCUUCUUAUUUUUUGAAGGAUCUCUCUCAAAAUUAGGAUUGUUAUGACCUCUUUGUCAACCCAUAGUUUAAAGUUAAUUUUGUGUUAACAUUAUAAAAUAUUAUACCAAAAGCAUAAGGUAACAAGGAUUUUAUAAAGAGUCUUAAGAGAGUUCGAUUAUCAGUUCACUAUCUUUUGUGUGGUGGUUUUAUGGUUUUCAAACUUUUCAAAAUUCUCAUACUAUUCUCAGUCAGUGACUCAAAAUUCCGUGAGAAUUUGGAGAUUCUGAAAGAACGGAUUAACAGGCUUUGACGGUCAAUUGCCCAUGAACCAAAACUCAUACAAACAGCAGUUAAACCCAAAAUAAUAUUAAUUAAAAAACCUAACAAUAUCUAUAAAAAUAUAACAAUUAUAAUUCUCUUUCUAUAACAAUUUGGUGACUUGAAAGACCGAAGGCCUGCCUAACUGCUGCAGAAUUUGUGAAGUCCUCUCUCUCUCUUAGCUCUUCUGGGUUUGUUUCUCUGCUCCUUUCCUUGGCUAUUUUUCAACUCUAAUCUUUUUUUUUGAGCUGUAAUCUGAUGACAUCAUUAGCUGGCUGGAAGCCACUGAAUUUCCUUGUUUUCUUUCCCCUCUUAGAGUUCUUGAUUAUAUUGAGGUCAGGAUUUUCAGGACUUAUAAUUACCCAAAACAAGAUCAUGAUCAAAGUAGCCUAAUUUUGCUUCUCAGCUAAGCUAACCUUUUCACAUUUAUAUUUGCAUAUAUAUAUAUAUAUAAAAUCUCAAUCUCCUAGUAGGGUUCCGCAUACUCACAUCCUUAGCUUUAGCUCCUUUCUACCCAAAUCUUCUUUCUUUUCUUAUUCCCCAAGCACCAAAAAAAAAAAAAAAAAAAAAAAAAAAAAGACCUAGACCAUCAUUAUAUUCCUCACUAGCUGCGGUUUCACACUAUCAUUAAAUUUCCGAGCUGGGUUAUUUUUCUCACAUGGAUAUCGAACACCAAGAGACUAGGUUUCCACCACUAACUGCCAGCGAUCAAGAGCGAAAGCCCGCAAAGAUACUGAGCCGCGAAGAGAUGGAGAGCAACAAUGAAGGCAUGUUUGUGAAGCUCAAGGUUGCAAAGCCGGAACCUUUAGGCCAAAACCCUCAAAACUUUUCUGCUGCUCCGCUGCCGGAAUUUACCCGAUUUUGCGAGGUCUGCUUCAAGGGUUUCAGCUCAGGUAAGGCUCUCGGAGGCCACAAAAGAAUGCAUGUUCAAGCUAACAGGGAAUUGUUUAAUCAGUCUCGCAAGAACACGAUUUCAUCAAAACCCAACAAUUCGAAACCAAGCAAUUCCAAUGUUGGAAGCUCGAAUGCUGGUGGGGUUUUGGGGAUUGGAGGAAAUAGCAGCACCAUCAGCAAUAUGAAGCCUGUUUGUUGCGUUUGCGGCAAGAAUUUUCCGUCGAUGAAGUCACUUUUUGGGCAUAUGAGGUCGCAUCCAGAGAGAGAGUGGAGGGGAAUUCAGCCGCCCCCGACCGCCAAAAACAGCUCUUCUUCCACUGUGUCAGAUGCUGUGCCUGAUCAGAGUAAUAGGAAAGCUCAGGAGGAUCAGAUUGAGUCUGAUGAGACUUUUUUCAGGUCGAAAAGUUCGGUUCUUAAUCUGUCCAAGACUCUGCCUAAAUGGUCACAAACCGCAAGGAGAGGGAGGAAGAGCGGCAGCACGGGAUUUGAGUCCAACUCUGACCAGUCCGUCUCCGGAUUGGAUUCGAGAAGUCCCAGGACUGUUGAAGAGGACGAAGAGCAGAUGGAGGAAGCUGUCCAUGAUCUUUUGAUGCUAGCUCAGGCCAAUCCAUUGGAAGGAGGAGGAGCUGAUGAGACCAUGUAUGAGGUCACCAACAGCAAUUUCUUGAUCACCACCAAUCAGGACCGAGAGGGUGGACUUCCAUACCACGGACACACUGCACCCUCCACCGUGGGGUCCACAAACAAGAGGAAGGGAGCAUCAUCUGAGGUGAAGAGGAGUGAGAAAAAAUGGUAUGAUGCAUAUGGUGGUGGGUUUGGUCAAGAAAAGUCAACGGUGAAGAAUUUCUUGAAGCUUGGAUUAAUGGAGGAGGAAAAUAUUGGAAACUAUAAUAAUAUGGAGGAUGAAUUGUCAGACAGUCAGAAUUCUGAGAGCAUUGCGGUGGUGAGGAGGAAGAGGAGGAAGAUGAAGUUGGUGGACUUGGAAGGAAGGCUGAGGUACAAGUGCAAUCUCUGUGCGAAGUGUUUCCCGAGCCACCAAGCUCUGGGAGGACACAUGUCAAGCCACAACAAGCUCAAGGGGAUCACGGUGGCCCACUCAUCAAUGGAGGACCAGUCUGCAUCCGCUGACGAUCCGGCUGCUGAAGAUAGGGUGCAUGGUGAUGAAGCAGAAAGAGUAGCACUUGAUCAUCUGCAGCAUCACCAAUGCAAAAUCUGUAACAAGACCUUCCCAACAGGUCAGGCUUUGGGGGGUCACAAGAGGUGCCACUGGACUGGCCCCACUGAGCAGCAGCAGCAGCAGGUGGUGGUGGUGGGUCCUUCUGAGCAGCUACAGAAGCAGGUGGUGGUCGUGGGUCCUUCUGAGCAGCUACAGAAGCAGCUGCAAGCUCAUUCCAGUCAGACUAUAGUAGGUGGUCGUGGUGGAGGAAAAGUUUUGAACUUUGACCUAAAUGAGCUUCCACCAAUGGAGGAGGAUAACCAGGAAGGUGCAGGUACAGAUUAUCAGUAUGGUGGGGCAGCAGCAGCAGGAUGUUCAACUUCUUCUUAUAAUUCAGUUACUAAUUAGCUAGCCAGCUGAAGAAUCUGAGGUUUUCUAUCUUCUCCUCUCAGUCUCUGGCUAUCUGAUAUUUUUUUAAGGGUUUUUGGAUAGUUCAGUUAGUUGUUGUCCUUAUAGUCUUAGAUACCCUACUGCUCUUUCCAGUUUGAUCAAAGUGGGGUCCAUUCCCAUUGGCUUUUAGGGUUAAUUUUCCUCUUGUAAAGCAUGAUGAUAUGGUCUUCUCAAGGUUUUGCUUUAGUGGAAGGAGAUUUCCAAUAUCCAAAUGAUCCUAUUGGGAGGAAGACGAUGUAAAGAAUCUGCAGGACUUCUGCAUACAUACAGUGUUUCUUUUUGGUUAAAUUAGUUUCCUUACUUUCUCUUCCAUUAAUUUUCUUGUUAGAAUUCAAUUGUUUAAUUCCACAAGUUUUAAGUUUCAAAUUAAGCCUUUGGUAAUCAAAUCUCAAAUGUAAGUGCUCUCCUGGACGGAGGGAUAUCAAAUUUACAGGAUUUAUAUCACAUUAAUAUACAGUUGUUUAUCUACACUAAAACAUGUCAUAUAUUGUCGAGAUUUAAAAUAAAAGAUCUGAACAAAAACAAAAUGAUUAGAAAGCAUAUAAUUUAUUUCAAAUUUAUUAGUCUAUUAAACAUAUUCCACAUGAUGUUUUCCAACUUUUGUAGAUAAUUUUCCUGCGCAUUGUCAAAUUCAGAUCCUUUCUUUUAGUUGACUCCAUUUAGAUGGAAUCUUGAUUUUGAUUUGUUUAAUUGUGAUGUGAGGCUAAUAAGAUGUAACGUUGAGUAUAUAGGGCCAGAACAAAGAAGUCAUUUCUUUAUGAAGUCAAGAGACUUCUCUACCCAGUGGAGGUUUUCCUCAUCAACCCAAUUUGCAAGAAUCAACUUUUUUUUUCCUGUUCAAUGCUUAAUUUUGGUUUUAAGAAAAUUAAUUAAGCAUAUAGUUUUCUUUGUGAUAUUUAAGAGAAGCAUCUAACAAAUCUCCAAAAGCAACUUGUUAGUGUUUGGGAAUUUGGUGUGUAUUUCCACAUAAACUAUGAGGGGGGGGGGUCUGUUUUGAAAAGGUCAUUGUGUACUGAUAGAGAUGUAGAUUUUUUUUUCCAAAGGUCAUUGUGUACUGAUAGAGAUGUAGAUUUUUUUUCCAAAUCACCUAAUUUAAUUGCAAAAUCAACACAGAUGAAGCAACAGGUUACUAAUAGUCUAAUACUCUAAACAUUGAUUUGUCUAAGCACACAAUUAUUAGUUCCUCUCCAGCUUAAGCUUUUACCAUCUCUUCUCACUUUGUGACCAGGUCAGCAAAAGAAUAAUAAGACAACAAAUUAACUCAAGUGUCUAGAUUCAGUUAUUUAGUUUUGCAAAGGAAUUGGUAUAUUAGUUGUGUAUAUGGUAACUUGUAUUUUUCACAUUAGCAUUGUACGUAAAACGUAAUACCUUAUAAUGGAAUAACCUUCUUAGGGCUGGUUUGGUAUUGUUGUGCUUUGAAAAAAAGCUGCUGUGAGAAUAAGCGGCUGUGAAAUAAAUCAGCAGAGUGUUUGGUAAACUUUUUUGUAAAAGUGCUUUUGGAAAGAAAAAAAAGCAGUCUGAUAGUGGGUCUUUUCAUUAAAGGAGCACUGUAGCUCCGUAUGCUUUGAAAAAAAGCCAGUUUUCCAAAGCUGCAAAUAGCAGCUUCAGCUUUUUCCUUUGAUUUCAGCUUAUUCUCACAGCAGCUUCCAAAAUAAGCCUUUUUUUAAUUUACCAAACACCUAAAACCCUCACAACUUUUUUUCAUGGGUGCUUUUUUUUUAAGCACCUCACUCCCAAACCACCCCUUAAAGUCAUAAAAGAUUCUGGACUGGUUAUGUAUUAGAAUAAACUUCAUAUUGUAAUAAGUUAUAAUUUUUCUUGACCUUAUGUUAAGGAAACACACCUCUACAUAGUUAUAAGUGUCACUGAGUACAAAAUAUGCAACAAAAUUAAAUCCUUGGUGCGUCCAAGGAAUCCUAUUUAGGAAAUACAUCAUUCAUUAAGGAUAAAUAAGUCAAUAAAUAAUAUUUCAAUUAUGUAUUAGAAUAAACUCCAUAUUGUAAUAAGUUUAAUUUUUUCUUGGUCUCAUCUUAAGGAAACACGCUUUCACAUAACAAAAAUAUGCCAGGAAUCCUAUUUAAGAAAUACAACAUUCAUUAAUGAUAAAUAAAGCAAUAAACAAUAAUUUAAACUACACCUCUAUUAAGCAAUAAUCUCCUUAAAAUUAUAAAAUUGGUUAUAUUUCAACCGUAUAACUUUAUAGAUGUUUUACUGUAUAUAAUUUCAUAAGUUUUAUGUCAUCAUGCCCCCGAAAUUUCUUUCCCCAAACAAUAUCGAAAGAUACAAUGUUAUAAUGUUUGCAUGCUGGUAAAUUUAAAGCAGUAAUAUUAGGUUGAUUUUGGUCAAAUUCUGUAGUUUAAAUUCACGAUUAAACAAUAUAAACAUCUAUCACGCAAAAGAAUGCUAAAUCCCAUAGCUAGUUAUUUGUGUGUAGUACUCAUAAUUCAUUUGCGUUGAAGGAUGCUUUGUAUUUAGGGUAGAAGAAAAUAGAAAGGAUAUGACUCAACUGUUUUAUUGACGAUUUCUUGUGAUCUCAAACUUUCUAUACUAUCAUUUUUAACUUUUAUAUCCCUUGGCACUUUUCUCACGCCAAUUGCCUAACAAACAUGUACCACCCUACCAUUGUAACGUGCGCUUUCGUGCCUUUAUGUCGUUGGUACUAGGAUACACUCACACGCAUAUUUUAUUAACUUUGGAUUAAUUAAUUGUUAAUUAUAAGAAAAUAAUAUUUAAAGCGAAAUCAUGCACAUGGUUCUUUUCAUACCUUGUUUUGGACUUUUGGUGUGAUUCUGUACUUUGUUUCAACUUACAGAAGGUGGUGUUCAUAUCUUAAAAUGGCUUAUAUGUCACUAUAAUUAAUAAAGAUGAAUUCACUUUGGAACAUUUAUACAAUAUACCUUGAAAGUCACGAAUUGGUCCAACAUUAGUGGUUGCUAAUUAUGCAGCUCUAGUAUUUUCUUUUUUUCUCUUAAACAAGAAUCAACUGAUGGCUUCGUCACUGCAGUCCACCAUGUUGGGGGCCGGAAAAACUCACAGUGACGUUUCAUCCUCCUCCUGACCAUCAUCAUGUGAUUCACCAACGUCAAGAAUCGAACUCAGGAAGUGUCGUGCGGAAUACGAACCUGAAAUUCGUCUUCAACCAUCGAGCCACACCGUGAUGGUUGCAUAGUAUUUUUGAAAUUGACACUUUUUCACAAUUACUACAAAUGACUAGAGAGUAAUGCUAUUCAUACCAUGUUUUUGUAUCAUAUUUGCAUACCACAUUAGGUGACAUUUGAUGUGGAUAGCCACAACAUUUGAAUUAAUGAGAUUUUUAAAUUUAGUUCAUUAUUUAAUAAACUAAUAAUUAAGAAAAACUAGUUAAUUAAAUGAUGAUUAUGGUAUACGACGAGUUUUUCUCCUUCCUUUCUUUGGGUUUUGCAAAUUUUUCAAAGGCUAAAUGUACAAAAUGGUCCAUGAGAUUUGCACAAUCAAUAGAAAUGGUCUUUGAGAUUGAAAAUCAAUAGAAAUGGUCCCUGAGAUUGUCCACCAUCCAUGAUUUUGGCCAUUUUGUUAAAAACUAUUUGGGCAAUUUUCAAAGCUUCGUAACUCAAUCGUUUGUUAACCACAUUUGACCCAUAAUAUAUCAAAAUGAAGAUAAGAAAGUGUAUAAUAAGAUUAUACCUAUUUGAAAGCCCAAUGGUUGCCGAAGAUGGCCGGAAAAUAACCUGAAAGGUGACUAGUCCGUGGGAAAACUGAAAAACUUGCCAGAAACUGGGUAAAUUUUAAACGUUCAUAACUUCUUCAAUACUCAACUAAAUCAAGUGAUUCAAAAAUAAAAAUCAUACUUCUAAAUGAGACGAAUAGAAUGGUACCUUUUUCUAUGGCUAACUCUCUGUUGUUUGGCCGGAAAACGGCUCAAAAGUGGGUAACUUGAAAAUGGUUAGCCACUUUCGAGCCAUUUUCCGGAAAAACCACGAAGAGUUAACCAUAAAAAAAAAAAAAGAUACCAUUCUCUUCGUCUCGUCGAGAAGUAUGAUUUUCAUUUUUGAAUCACUUGAUUUUGUUGAGUAUUGAAGAAGUUAUGAACGUUUAAAUUUAUCCAGUUUCAAGCGAAUUUUUCAGUUUUCCCUCGGACCAAACACUUUUCAGGCUAUUUUCCGGCCAUCUCCGGCAACCAUUGGGCUUCCAAAUAGGUAUAAUCUUGUUUUACACUUUCCUAUCUUUAUUAUGAUAUAUUAUGGGUCGAAUUUGGUUAAGAAACGAUUGAGUUAUGAAACUUUGAAAAUUGUCCAAAGAGUUUUUAAUGAAAUGACCAAAAUCCUGGAUGGUGGAUAAUCUCAGGGACAAUUUCUAUUGAUUUUCAAUUUCAGGGACCAUUUAUAUUGAUUAUGCAAAUCUCAUUGACCAUUUUAUAUAUUUAACCUUUUUCAAAUGAUGUGAAUGUCCACGUCAGAUGCUACCUAAGGUGAUAUAGAAAUGUGUAAAAACAUGGUAUGAAACUUACGAGAAACACAUCGUAUUAUUUGUCCACGUCCACCUAAAGUUAUAAUAUAAUACGAUGUAUAAAGUUUUUUACUGGUAAAUUUUUUUGUAAAAUGUGGUAUAAAAACAUGGUAUGAAACUUACAAGAUACACAUCGCAUUAAUUGUCUUCAAACUCAAAAGAAACUUACGAGAGUGACAAUAUUUGCUUGGUCUUCGAAUGGAACGGGAACAAAAAUGAGUUAGAAAAAGGGAAAUAUAUACAAACGACAAUAGUUAUAAACUUUUAAUCAAAGCAAUGAUAUAUCAGAGGCAGAGGCAUAAGACCUAGAGGAAACUUAGCUAUGUUAAGUACACGACUUAUUGUCUAUAUUGCGGCAGAAAGAUGCUUAAGUACUAGAGUGCUGGAUUUGAUACCGUCAUGGUCGAGUAAACUAUGCCCUAACUAGACUUAGUGUAAGUAUAAUACAAUAGAGAUUAACUGCGGAAUUUGUGUCCUUGGAAACAUCUAAAUCUAACCAAAGGCACUGCCUGUAUCAUGCGUUAUAUAUCAUUGCUUGUACAUUGCACUUCUUCUUCAAUUCUAAUUUGCCUAUGAUCAAUAAAAGUUUAUAAUAUAAUACGAUGUAUACAGUUUUUUACUGUUAGAUUUUUUUGUAAAAUGUUCGAUGAACAAAAUUUGACGACCAUGUGUAUCUUGUACACAAAAGCAUACAAUUUUCACCGGUUAGUAAAUCUUGUAGAAAUCACAGUUUCUAAAUAUCUCUCUUAUAUUAAUUCUUUGUUAAAAGUUACAAUGGUAUGGCAGUGUAUAUAUAGACAAUAUACUGCUCUUACAAUUACAAUUAUACCCUUGUCUAAUCUGUCUAUUUACAUAAGAAACCUAAGAAACUUUUAACAAACAUCUAACUAAUUUUACUUGAUCCUUUACCCCCUCAAGCUGAACUUGGAUGCAUCAAAAGGACCAAGAGAAAGCUUGGAUUGCAAGUAUAGAAAUCGGGAUUUAGACAGAGAUUUGGUAUGAAUGUUGGCUAACUGAUCUUGAAAGCACACAUACUGAACUUUGAGAAGAUUGGCAAGGACCAACUCUCGAAUAUAAUGGUAAUCAAGUUCUAUAUGCUUGGUGCGAGCAUGGAAAACUGGAUUGGAAGCAAGAGAUAUGGCAGACAGGUUGUCACACCAGAGAGAAGGAACAUGAGGAAGGUGAAGACCAAGAUCCUUGAACACUUUACAAAUCCAUGUGAUUUCAGCUGCUGUGUGGGCUAACGACCUGUAUUCGGCUUCAGUGGAGGAACGAGCAACCGUUGGUUGCUUCUUAGCACUCCAGCUGAUAAGAUUGGAUCCCAGAAAUAUACAAUAUCCACUAGUAGAGCGUCGAUCAAAAGGACAGCCGGCCCAAUCAGCAUCCGAAUAGGCAGUAAGAUGAAUAUCACCUUUCUUGAACCACAAACCAUGGCUGACUGUGGCUUUCAGAAAUCUGAGAAUGCGUUUAGCUGCUUGAAGAUGUGGUUCACGGGGAGCAUGCAUAAAUUGACAGACCUGAUUGACAACAAAAGAUAAAUCAGGUCGUGUCCAAGUUAAGUAUUGCAAGGCACCUACAAUGGAUUUGUACUCGUGUGGAUCAGGUAACAAGGAACCUGUGUGAUCAAGUUGGACUGACACAAGAGGUGUAAGACAGGGUUUAGCACCAGCCAUGUUUGUCUUGUGAAGCAGGUUAAGGAUAUACUUGCUUUGAUGUAGGAAAAGACCAGCAGAGGAUCUCUGAACCUCAAGACCCAAAAAAUAAUGCAAGGGGCCUAAGUCCUUCACAGGAAAAAUAGUACUGAGUUGCUGAAUGAAACUGUGACAAGCAGUAGGAUUUGGACCGGUGACAAGAAUGUCAUCGACAUACACCAAGACAAUAAUGGGGACAGGUGUUUGAAUCACAAACAAAGAAGCAUCAGAUUGUGAUUGAUGGAAUCCCAAGGACUUCAGAACUACAAAGAGUUUGUCAAACCAGGCCCGAUGAGCUUGUUUCAAUCCAUACAAGGAUUUUCGAAGUUUGCAGACAUGAUGAGGAUAAUUGGGAUCACUGAAACCGGGGGGUUGCUGCAUAUAGACAUCUUCUUGAAGGUCUCCGUGCAGAAAAGCAUUACUGAUAUCCAAUUGGUUGAGAAACCAAUCAUAUUGAACCGCAAGAGAUAGAAGAAUGCGAAUGGUGACUGGUUUGGCAACUGGACUAAACGUUUCCUUGUAAUCCAAACCAGCUUGCUGAUGAAAGCCUUUGGCCACAAGCCUAGCUUUGUAUCGAUCUAUAGUGCCAUCCGGAUGUUUCUUAACCCGAAACACCCACUUACAGCCAACAAUAUUAUGAUGAGAUUGAAACGGAACGAGAGACCAAGUGCCCGUGGAUUGCAGGGCAUUAUACUCAUCCUGCAUAGCAGAUCUCCAAUGGGCAUGUUUGGAGGCCUGAAGAUAAGUAGAGGGAAUAACAUCAACAGUGUUAGGUAAAGAAUGGUUGGUGGCUGAGUAGGCUUUGGGUUUAGAGAUACCAGCUUUAGAUCGUGUGAUCAUAUGAUGGAUAUUAGUGGGAGGAGGGGAGAGUGGAUAUAAGGGGACUGAAGAGGGCACAUGAGAGGGAUGCACUUGAGAAUGCAGUAGAGGUACAUGAGAAUGUGUGCUAGAGGGAUUAAUCAAAGGAGCAGGUGAUGAACUCAAAGGAGCAGGGGAAGAAGGAGCAAGGAUAGGAAAUUGCAGGUUGACACAAGGAUUUACUUGGGAAGUAUCAGCAAAGGAAUGAGGGGGAAGAACAGUGGCAGAGGAUAGAGUAUGGAAUGGAAAAGUGGUCUCAUCAAAUAAUACAUGCCGAGAGAUAUAAACACGUUGGGUAAGUGGAUCAAGACAGCGAUACCCCUUGUGCUGAAGACUGUACCCAAGAAAUACACAGGAUUUACUCUUACUAUCCAACUUGGAUGUCGUAUAGGGUUUGAGCCAGGGAUAACAACCACAGCCAAAAACUCGAAGGCGAGAAUAAUCUGGAGAAGUGAAGAAGAGGAGUUCCCAAGGAGAUUGCAAUAGACCACCAAGUGGAAGUCGAUUAAUGAGAUAGAUAGCAGUAGAAAAAGCUUCAACCCAAAACAUAUGAGGCACUUGAAAUUGCACUAAGAGUGUACGAGCAGUUUCAACCAAAUGGCGAUGUUUCCUUUCAACGUAUCCAUUUUGCUCAGGAGUAUGAGGGCAACUAAAUUGUUGUAAAAUGCCAUGAAGUUUAAGAAAAUGCUGAAACUGAUGACUUGUAAACUCACCCCCUGAAUCAGAUCGAACAACCUUGAUUUUAUUACCAAUAGUUUUCUCUACAUAGGAUUUGAACUCCACAAAGGUUGAAAAUACAGAAGACUUAGACUUUAAGGGAAAAUACCAACUAUACUUGUUGUAAUCAUCAACAAUAAGCAAGUAAUAUCUAUAGCCACUGACGGAUACAACAGGAGACGGCCCCCAGACAUCACAAUGCAACAAUUCAAGACUGGUCGAAGAUGCAGAUGGAGUAGUACCAAAGGGAAGCUUGUGAUUCUUUGCCAAAGCACAGUCUUUGCAAAAGAAGUCUGGAGACGAUCUGCCUUGGACAACAACUUUAUUCGUAGACAGAACUUUCCGAAAGAUAACAGAAGAGGGGUGACCAAGUCUGCUGUGCCAAAUGCGAACAUUAGUAGAACUACUUACGAGUGCAUUAGGAGAGGUAGGAGCUUUGGAGGAAGAAGAGCCUUGAAGAGGAAAGAAUCCACCUCUAACUGGGCCCCGCAAAAGCGUCCUCCCCGUAAAACGAUCCUUGACAGAGGAUCCAUGAAUGUCAAGAGUCAAUGAACAAUCAUUAUCUUUGAUAAACUGAUAGGCAGAGAGUAGACUGUAUUUCAUAUGAGGCACAUAAAGAACAUUGUGUAAUUGAAAAGAAGAAGCAGGAGUAUGCAAAGUAGAUGUGCCAGUAUGAGCAAUAGACAGACCUUUACCAUCUCCGAUGUACACCUUGUCUUCACCAUGGUAGGGAGUUGGAGAUUGAAUAUUGGCGAUAUCAUUUGUAAUGUGAGAGGUAGCACCCGAAUCUAUGAGCCAAGAAUUGGAGGACUUCGCAGUGUAAUGAGCACACAUGGCAGCAAGUUUAGCUGGGGGAAACUUGCCUGAGAUUUCUGGAUUCAUUAUGUCGAAGCAAUCAAGAGCUUCAUGGCUAGUAGAACCACAAAUUUGACAGGGAGUUUUGUGACCUGAAGGAGAGGCAUGACAGUUGAAUCCAGAAUUAUAAGAACCACGAGAGAAACCAGAGUUGGAGUUGCUACGAUUAAAACCACGAUUGGAGCCUCGAUUGGAACCACGGGUGUAGCCUCGAUUAGAACCACGAUUGUAGCUUCGGUUAGAAUUAUACCGAAAGGAAUUAUGAAGUGGUGAUGCUCCAGGAGUCUGAGCAGCAAGAGCUUGCGGUGGUGUGGGAAGUAGAGGCGGUUGGCCUUGCACAGAAAAGGCAUGAAAAGGCUCAGAGGAAGAGAUUUUCUUACGACGCUCCAUGGAUAACUCCUUAGUGAGCAACAGGCCAUGUAAUUCAUCCAAAGAAGUAGACGAAAGACGAAGUAAGAUAGAAUCAGUAAACGAUUCAAAAUCAUCAGAGAGACCAGCAAGAGUUGCAGCAAUGAGAUCACGAUCAGUGAGAGAUCACGAUCAGUGAGAGAUACACCAGCAGCAGUGAGAGAAUCGGAGAUCUCCUUGAUUUUUUGAAGAUAGUCAGACAUGGACUGAGAACCUUUCUGAAUAUUUUGAAGCUUCGAACGCAAUUGAUGAAUGUGUGCAUUCGAGACACCACCAAAACGCUGCUCAAGUUUGAGCCAGAGAUCACGAGCGGAAGAGACACCGACUGUGAACGGAAUGAUUUCCUCAAAGAGCGUUGAAUUGAACCAGAUAAGCAGAUUCUGAUAUUUCUCAUACCAUUGCUCAAAAGCAGGAUUAAGAGAGCGAUCAGGAAGAAAGGGAGAUGGACAAGGCUCAGUGCCAUCAACAAUCCCAAGGAGCUUGUAGCGACGAAGAAUCGGAGCAAACAAAGCACGCCAUGGCAGAUAAUUGGAUCGCCGGAGCUUGAUCGGAACCAUGCUGCCAAUGUUCUGGAUCGUGAGAGAAUUAUACAUCUGAGAGGAAUUGAGAUUUGGGGAAGAAGAAUUAGGGUUUGAAGAAUUAGGGUUGGGAGGAGGCACCGACUCAAUUGGAGAUGAGGAUGCAAAGGGAGACGCCAUUAAGAUUCAAGAAAAAGAAGUCGAGAACCUGAAUCGGAGUAGAAGAACAACGCAAUCAAUUUCACCGGAGAAGAAGAUCAGAGAGGAGCAGAAGAAAAUGGCAGGAUCGAAGAAGCCGUGAGGCGAUUUGGCGAUGGUACCAUGUAGAAAUCACAGUUUCUAAAUAUCUCUCUUAUAUUAAUUCUUUGUUAAAAGUUACAAUGGUAUGGCAGUGUAUAUAUAGACAAUAUACUGCUCUUACAAUUACAAUUAUACCCUUGUCUAAUCUGUCUAUUUACAUAAGAAACCUAACAAACUUUUAACAAACAUCUAACUAAUUAUACCCUUGUCUAAUCUGUCUAUAUACUGCUCUUACAAUUACAAUUAUAGCAGCAGGGUAAAUGUGUGUUAUGAUUUUACCGGUUCAGUUGUGCAUUUGUGCCGGACUACGCUGUUUUAACUUUGCGGCUCUUGGCACCGGACCCGUCUUUAAAACGGUUCAAAUCACACUGGAAGGGUGUCGAUGCAGUUAAAAGACUUGGAGAUGUUCUUACCAUUGUUGUUGUUGCUGUUACGCCGGUUCUUUAGCUUCAGUUAUGACUGUAAUCAACUUGGUACUUUCGUAAUUUUUAUGUGUGUAUAUUUGGUCGUACAAACUGAGAUUCAUCUGUGGACUGCGCGACCGUGGGGAAGUGGAUCGUGAAGAGCACGGAUGACUCAUGUAACACGUACGAAAUGGAUACAUGUGAGGCCAAGUCUUGUCUCGUUCUGCCCAGAAGUGCUUUUUAGAGAAGCAUCUCCAAAGGAGUCUCGAGUGAGGAGGCGUUAUGUCAGCUUUUGGCAAUACUAAUCGUGUGUAUUUUCGAUAUGUCACUACUAAUUAAGCCAUCAUUUGGUUUUUUAUUACAACUCAAUUGUUGCUAAUUUACAUUAUUUACUGACGGAGUUGAUUGCAAAUAUUAAAUCUGGUGUUUCAAUAUACCAACAAAAGCAUACUUUUUGGAAAUAUUCGAAUUAACACAAAAGAAAAUUUUCAUUUCACUCACUAUUCAUGAUCCAUAACAAACUAUGGUUUUAAUCAUCGUAGACUGAAUUUUCUUCGAUGUAUAACCAUGUGUAUCUUGUACCUUGUUACUAUUAAACCCUAUGGUUUUAAUCAUCAUAGGCUGGAUUUUCUUCGCGAAAAUCCAAAACUGCUCGGCCCACUGCUGAUCGUCGUUCAAAACGGACAAGGAUUGUCUGACCUUCACUUCCGGUGCCCUUCUCGUGUCCUCCUGUUUUGUGUGGCCACGGUUAAGCCACGUCAACAUUUUAUAUUGUUUUUUUAUAGAUAUAAUAAGACAAAAAUGAAUAGUAAUAUAAAAUGUUGACGUGGUUUAACCGUGACCACACAAACAGGAGGGCACGGAAAGAGCACCGGAAGUGGAGGGCAGACGAUCCUUGUCCGUUCAAAACCAAUUACCAAAGACAUUGAAUCAGUUGCAGUCAAAAACAACUUUAUGUCUUUCUCAUUAAUCUUUCUUUCGGAUGAACUGAUCCAUCGUCCAAUACCUGGCAUCUCACAAUCUAUUGACACGACAUUGAAAAAACGACUGUCGUUGACAAUACAACCGAGCUCGAUGCUCAUACAAAUAGGGGCGAGUCAAGUUAUCAUUGAGCUCAAGACAUUUGCCAUCAAAACCAACAAUCCGUCAUGCGACUUUUGUUGGAUACAUUUGACUGGAGUUCUCAUUAGAUUGUUCUGCAACAUCUAAUCUCUCGAGCUUCCGGGUGGCGGCCGUGUAUAUAAUAACAUUAGCACUUUCAUCAUCAUGUUUGAAUUUUGAAUGCAACUAUUGGUGAAGACGAUUUGAUCAAGGCGAGAAGAUUUGGUCAAGGGCGAGAGGCUGAAUAACUUCAAUGAUAAUAUUGAUGCUUCAUGGUUUUACAAUACAUAAGCAUACAAGCUGAGUUCCAUAAGGAAGACUAUGUACACACAAAUUUCAAUUACAACAACAACAAAGCUUUUUCUCACUAAAUGGGAUCGGCUAUAUGAAUUCUAGAAUGUCAUUGCGCUCGGUUCUGACCACACAACAUGCAACUUACAGGUGAUGCCCUAGCUUUAACGCGAUUUCGUUCUAGAUUCAUUUUUAUAAGGAUUCAACGUAACCUAGGAGUGCUGACUGUCGACUACCUGACGUCCUCCCCCUCCUUUACACACAGAUCUCAAUUAAAUAUACAAAAUCAACUCCUACCUAAAACAGGACUCCCAAAAUCUCCCAGAAUCUCCUAUAAUAUUUAGGAAUAAUGUCCCAACAUGCACUCGUCUUGGUCUGGUCUUUUGUUAAGCAAAGCCAAGCCGGAUGGGUGCCAGAAGACCUUAAAUUAUGUCUUAAACAUCGUCAAGGAACAUCCGUUACAAGUGAUUCGACGUUCCUUAAAUUUCGACUCAUAAAACAAUCCACCAAACAAAAUUGACAACGCGAAAAUUACAGUUACGGAAUGUACAAUACGCUAUAAGCACUUAUAUAUAAGCAAUCGUUUUGAGAUGCUUUUGUUCCUAUGAAAGCAAAAAUUACAACACUGUUGCAUAAAAACGGAAACAGAAAAACAAAUGAGGAAGAAAAGGGUUCUACACGAUAAAAGAUCAAAUUUAACCUUCCAGUAUUUGCCUAAGGAGGUUGAGAAUACACAAAAACAACAUGGCGUUGCUACUCUCGUGCUCAGGUGGGUACAGCCACCCCUUGAUGGGAUGACUGCGAGUGAAAAACAAGAUCGCCAAGCCCAGCAAUAUUAACUGAAUAAAAAGACAAGAAGUAAUCUUACAAAACCUCUUCUGGAUGGUGAAAACCUCUUCGGUCUCUAAAAUAUCUCCGGAUAAUUUUCCCAACUCCAUUGUUCGUUCCUUUAGCUUUGCGGCCCUAAUUUCUACUUCUCCAAGCUUGUUCAGCAUCUGUGCUUGUUCUCCGGCUACUGCUUCUUGCUCAUCAAGCAGUGCGAUUUGGCCACCUGCAGCAAACUUCAACCUCUGUGUGGAACUUUUAAUAGCAAUGAACUCAACCUGAGCUUCAAUCACUUGCCUAAACACGCCAUCAAGUUCAGUCUCUAGCUCUCGACUUUUUUCUUCCUCUAAACCUACGGUACUACCUGAAUCUUCUUUUGCAGACUUGCUAACGUUAAUCAUAUCUUCAAGUUCAGCAACCCUGGAUUCUUUCACCUCCAGUAUAGCUCUCGUCUCGUCCAGCUUGCUUUCCAAAAGCUUCACAUUUUGUUUCAAACUCAAGACCUGAGAUUCCAAGGACUUUGAAGAACUUUGUCCAAUCUUAUCAGAACCCAAAUGGUCAGAUAAGUUAGAUUCAUUGAUUCCCGGAUCACUUGAAUAGAUAUUGGCAGGUAUACUACCACCAAUAGAAUCCGCUGACAAAGUUUCCUUCCCAAUCUCCCCAAAUUUCUGAACCUCUGCAUGAACACACAUGACUCCGUUAAUUUGAUGUCCAAAAACAGCCAUAACAAUAUAGCAGAACCCCCAAAAAAGGAAAACACAAUCAAAAUUCAUAUUUCAGACAAAGCAGUCAAAAAUAGCUUCAGCAGGAAACAAACCAUCGCUAAUAAGAAACACAGACAGCAAUAAGUUAAGAAGGGAAAUAAACCAAAACUACUUUGAAAAGCAAAGCGCAGCCCAUUAAUCAAAGUCUCAAUAUGCAGACCACACUAAAGGGGAAUAUUUUUGCUCACCACACUAAAGUGAUGUGAUGCUCAUGACCCUAUUGAUUACCGUUGGAUGAGUUUGAUUUAAUCUAUCUACUACACAAAUCUCGAAAUUUAAACUAAUCUAACGGUAUUUAAUGGGGUGGUAAGUAUUACCACCACUUUAGGGUGGUGAGCCAAAAUGCACUCGUAGGAAGGGGUAAAACAAUGAACCCACAAGAAAUAAAAGGAAAAUGAUACAAUAACCAAGACGGAUGGAGCAAAAAGCAAACAAUACUAGUUUCUCGAACCAAGCCUUUAGUGUAAAAGAGGGAAAGAGAAACAGUAAGUGCCAUUACACCAAGACUUCUGAGUAUAAAAAAGAAUGCAAGACAAGACAAUAACUUCAAUGAUGAUACAACGAGUUAUGGUAACAUCUGGGCUUCUCAAAAUGUUUAUGUAUCAACCAGAAAGAUUCACCAAAUAUAUUACCCACGAGGCACAUAAGAUGGGAGGUAUUUCACAAACCCUUAUUAAGAUCCCCUAAACAUGUGAAAAUUGAACAAACUUGCACUUGUAAAAGUACAAACUUACACUUAUAAAAGUACAAACUUAGAAGAAGAUUAGCAUAUGGCUGCCAUGGAGACUCUCCCACCCAUUGAUUACAUUGUUUGCAGACUACUCUAGUCAAGAGGUCCUUCAGACUACUCUAAAAAUGACCAAAAACUUUGCUUGCAGAACUCCUAAAUCUAUACUUGGACUUUUACAAAAUAAAAUUGACAUGUUUAGCACAGACCACAGUUUUGCACGAUCAGGUUUUUCAAAAUAAUCUUUCUAUGAUUUUAAUAGUUAUUCUACUGGUUCCUACCCUAUCCUGAUCAUCACAGGAAGUAGUAGCUGAACAAAAAAUUCUAAUUAGGCAAUGAACAAUAUGGGGGAUUCAUCAAAUUUAUUAGAACACCAACACGUUAAACAUAUGGAAAGCAGCAAUACAAGACAAAAACACCAACUUUAUUUCGUAAUUAUUUAUAUUUCAGCAGUUUUAGGCAAACCUUUAGCCAGUGCUUCUUGUACAGACUGGAGAUUACGGAUAGCCUCAACCAGUGGAUCUUGAUCUGUCAAGGACCUAUGAUCCUUAUUCUUUCCUCCCUUAGCCAUCCACGGCAAGUCCGUCGGAAAGUCACCCUGAGAAAAAUCUUCAACAUCUCCCAAAUUCUCUUUGCUAUAACCAGUUUGAGCUUCUUCACUGUAUUGUGGUUCACUUGCAUGAACUUCAUCACUGUCUUCUCCAUCAUGACUCAUUGAUCUUCCACUUUGCUUCCUGUUACUAGUCAAAAUUGGACUCUGCAUAAAGAAAAAGUUGGAGCUUCUUGAGUCAGAUUCCAUGCUGGAAUAAGAGUUUUCCUUCUCAACUGUGCCCCUGUCUCCUCUAUGCUUCUUACUACUUUCAGCUCGUGUCUUUCCCUGUUGAGCUUUUUGAGCUGAAUUGCUCACACUCCUCCUGCUAGUACUCUUCAUCUUGUUCUUAUCCCACGCAUGCCCAAAUGCUGCAGGGAGCUCAAACUUGGCCUUUGGAACACUGGCAGCUGUUGAAGACUUGCUACUCCGAUCCUCACUGUUGUCAGAAUCUGCGGCAGCAGCAAAUGCAGAACCCACAGCAAACCUAGAAUCCGAACUUGAACCAGGAAUGGCAAAGCUAUCAGCAACUCCCACAUUUCUCAACCUAUUCACGGAUCCAACAGAAACAUCACUAUUAUUAUGCCUGAUCUCAAUGGGCGAAUUCUUUGGCUUAACUGGGUUUCCAUUACCGGACAAACCCCGCUUCAAAACUUUACUAGAAUCAUCAACUGCAUUGUCAUUAUCGUCCUUGGCAAAAUUUCUCUUAAUUCUUUUCCACUUUCUUAAGCCGCGCCCUUUGACGGUUGGAGGUGACCCCCCAACGGGAGAUUUGGCUGCCGGAGGACUCGAAUUCACUGCCUGUUCAGUGCCACCAUCAUUAUCUCUACUAUCUGCUACAUUGCCAAUCUCAUUACCACAUGACCCGUUGUUCCUAAUCGAAUUACUACUACCGUCAUCGCCAUCAGCAGCAGCAAAAUCGGAAACUGCUUGUGGGUUUACUACAUCAUCUUCCACAGAUUCAUUUUCCAAAUCCAUAACAUAGAACAAUUUAGGGCUUUUCCCUCACCCCCAAUUCAAUCAGAUCAAGAACAACUAUCAUUCCAACCCAGACCCAAAAUCUAGCAUUACAAAAAACUGAAAUUAAAUUUCGAUCACGAACCGGCAGAGCAAUUAAAUCCUGAAUAAUUGAAAAUUCAGAAAAAUAAAAAAACGAAACGACGAAUUCAAAAUUUGGGAUUUUGGGGAAUUGGGAAACUUACCGUUGGAAUUAACUGCCUGAAGCCUAGAAGAAUACGCAGGUAGAAGAUAAAUUCGAAGGGCAUUGGAAACCCUGAAUUGUGAUCGGAUUUGCUAUCUUAUAGCGAUGAAAAUUUAAUUAGGAAAAUUUAAUUCGACUAAUUAUUAAUUAACGGGAAAAAAUGAUAAAGGGGAGGAUUAAAUAAGGGUGGAGGGAACGUGGGGGACACUGAGCAUGGCCACAUGCACGAGGGGUGGGCCCACCCUCCACCGCACACCGUUGGCCACCGCUGGCCAUCUGAUGGAUCGGCUUCUUCUUGCUUGCACGAGGGGUGGGCCCACCCUCCACCGCACACCGUUGGCCACCGCUGGCCAUCUGAUGGAUCGGCUUCUUCUUGUAUUUGUUUGGUAAUUUUGUUUUAUGUUUGUUUCUACUCUAAAACUUCGUUUCAAACAAAGAUCUUAUAGUUCAAGUGGUUAUGAACGUUUGAUUUGGACUUGAAGUUCUAAGUUGGAGUUUCUCCUCAUUUAUUAUUGCUUCAUUUAGCAUUACAAACAUGGAUUAAGUUGGUAUUAUAGUAGUUUGGAUUAAACUAUAGCAUUUGUUUAGGAAAAUUAUUUAGAAGUGAUUUUAAUAUGGCUGAAAGUGUUUUUGGUGAAAUGUUUUUAAUAUCAAUCCUAAGCAAAAAUGCAAGUGAAUCUCGAAAAAAUACUUAAAGUUCUUCUUUUAAGAAGAACAUAACUGAUGUUUAUUACAUAAAACACUUCAAAUGCUUUUGGAAUCCAAAAACAUUUUCUCUAAAAAAAGUUUUAAUUAUUUUAAAAGUAUUUUCAAACGAGCUCGUAGAUAUAUAAAAUCGAACUGCUAGCCACACGUAAUCACUCUCUCUUUCAACUCGAGUUCGAAUAUCUUCUUUCAUAAAUUAUAUCAGUUUUGAAUCAUUGUCCUCCAUUAAAGAUAAUUUUAGAAUGUUAAUAAUUUAUAAUCUUUCUCAGUUUUAUUUGAGUGAACUGUUAUGCUCAGGAUUGUAUUUUCCAUUCAAUGACUGCAGAAUCAAAUGAACCGUGAUUCGUGCAUAUCAUCAAUCUAAGGGUUUGGGUACCAAAUAUAAUAUAUUGUCAUUAAUUUAGUUGUAGUAAUAAAAGGUGAACUUGUCGAUCUAAACAGCUGCAAAUGCGUAUGUAGACAUCGAAAUUUCGGUAAAUAAAUGUUGACCGAUAAAUUAAAGUGUCAACGCUCAUGUAUUACAUAAAUUUUACACGUAACGUGUGACUCAACGAAAAUUGAAAUGAGUUGGAAAAGUCAUCAAAUAGGACACGUGUCAACACCUGGCAGAAACGACUUAUUUCGUCUGGGAUAUUAUAUUCAAAAUUAGGCUUUGGAAAAUUCUAUAAAUACAAGCCCAUUUCAUUCAUUUGGGGGACCAAUGGAUAUGACACCUUGAAGCUCUGAAGCUCUGAAACCCCGAAGCUCUCAAGCAUCCAAGUUCCCGAAGAAUCAAGAAAGCCUUCUUCGUUCUUCGUUCAUCGUUCUUCCAAGAUCAAGCCCCGACGGCCCUUGGAUCAACAACAUCAACAAAUCCACACAUCCGACCGUUCUUCAAGAUCAAGCCCCGACGGCCCUUGGAUCAACAACAUCAACAAAUCUACACAUCCAACCGUUCUUCAAGAUCAAGCCCAAAAGCCCUUUGAAGAUCCGUUCAUCCAUCAACCUUCAAGAUCAAGCCCAAAAGCCCUUGAAGAUCCGUUCAUCCAUCAACCUUCAAGAUCAAGCCCAAAAGCCAUUGAAGAAACGCUCAUCCUCAAGAUCAAGCCCCAACGGCUCCUUGAAGACCCGCUCAAAAUCCACCUUCAAAGAUCAAGCCCACGGCCCUUGAAGAACGUUCAUCCUUAGAUCAAGCUCAACGGCCCUUGGAUCAAUCGCAUAUCCACAAAUCAACACCUUACGGAGAUUGAAUCAGAGGAUCAAAUAGAAGAGAGAUUGUAACCCAAAAUCAUCAAACACAAAUAUUUGUUUGUGCACGUUGUUUCUUGUCUCUUUCGUUUUCAGGAAUUUUCCGUGUUCACAAAUUGGCACGCCCAGUGGGACCAUCUCUGCCUCUCAUCUCUUUCUCCGAAAUUCAAGCGCACUUCGAAAAUUAAUGGCAUCAAGGAAGGCUCAAACGGUUCCCGCAACCUGCGCAAAGAACAAGAGCGUCAUCGUCGCAAGUGGUAUCACUUUGGGCAUCACGACUCGAAGCAUGGCAAGAGCUACUUCUGCCACCUCUUUCACCUCUGCAUCAACUCUGCCAAAGGGACAAGAGUACCCCAGGCGCGAGCCUAUGAUCACCUUAGCCUCACUAAGGGCACCAAGAGGGGAAAGACCAAGGGAAUACUCCGAAUCCAUGCUCUCCGAUGACGAUUCAAGCGGCAGUUCAGCCAUGCAAGUCAUGACCGCUGGAGCAACUUCAGUCGAGGAACAGCUUGCUCAAAUGAAUGAAGCAAUCGCAAGACUAACUCGAACUGUGGAAGAAAAAGAAUUGCAAAUCGCGGCAUUAGUCAACCGACUGGAGGCGCAUGACAGCGAGAAACCCGACCCAGAGGAUGAUCCACUAAAGGGAGGAGCUGGCGGAGACGAAGAACCCCCGGUGAAGAAAAUCGAUAGGAAGCCGAAACCAGACCAAGCAGCGGCACUCAUGGGAUCUCUUUCUAUCCAGCAGCUGCAAGAGAUGAUCACCAACACCAUCAAUGCACAGUACGAAGGGAGCUCAUAUACCUCCGGGUUGUACUCAAAGCCGUAUUCAAAGAAGAUCGACGCCCUAAGGAUGCCGAGGGGUUAUCAACCACCAAAGUUCAUGCAAUUUGAUGGAAAGGGAAACCCGAAACAGCACGUUGCCCACUUCGUUGAAACUUGCAACAACGCAGGAACCGAAGGGGACUACCUCGCCAAGCAGUUUGUGCGCUCGCUGAAAGGAAACGCCUUUGAGUGGUACACGGAUCUGGAGCCUGAGUCCAUCAACAGUUGGGAGCAAUUGGAGCGGGAAUUCCUCAAUCGCUUCUACAGCACCCGCCGCACUGUGAGCAUGCUAGAGCUAACAAGCACAAAGCAGUGGAAGGACGAGCCAGUCAUGGACUACAUCAAUCGAUGGCGUAAUCUAAGCCUCGACUGUAAGGACAGACUCUCCGAGAUUUCUUCAAUCGAGAUGUGCAUCCAGGGCAUGCAAUGGGGUUUACAAUACAUCCUUCAAGGUAUCAAACCACGAACUUUUGAAGAAUUAGCCACCCGUGCCCACGACAUGGAGUUGAGCAUCGUCCACCAUGGAAAGAAUGAGCCAAUCACCGAUUUCAAAAGGGAUAAGGUGUUCACUUCAAGAGCAGACAAUCAUGGGAAAAAGCGCGCCAAGGAAGCUUUUACCACCAAUACCACCCCUAUCAAGACCUCGUCUGUGCCCGUCAAAAUCUCUUUCAAUAAAGCAAAGGAGAUGAAAAAAGGUGAGCCUUCCCACACCCAAGAUAGGUACAAAAACACCUUGAGGGAAUUGGAGCAGAAGGUAUACCCUUUUCCGGACUCCGACAUGGACGCAAUGCUGGACGACCUACUGGAGAAGAAGGUGAUUGAGUUACCCGAAUGCAAACGCCCUGAAGAAAUGAAUCGCAUCAAUGAUCCCAAGUACUGCAAGUACCAUCGUAUCGUGGGUCAUCAUGUGGGCAAGUGUUUCAUCCUAAAAGAACUCAUCAUGAAGUUGGCACAACAAGGACGGAUUGAGCUCGACCUAGAAGACACAGCUGCGACGCACACCACUACGGUCGUGUUCGGAUCCUUUGAUCCCGUGUUUCUUCAAGAAAUGCCUGACCAUGCUCGGUAAUACUCAAACCACAUUGCACAUUCUGCACCACCGUCACUGGGGGCAAGCAACCAGGACGCACCUACUGACGAUGACAAAUGAUGGACAUUGGUGACCUAUAAGAGGACGAGGAACCAAAAUCAUUAGGCAAAAUUCUUGAAGCUUUGAAGCUCUGAAACUCCGAAGCUUUCAAGCAUCCAGGUUCCCGAAGAAUCAAGAAAGCGUUCUUUGUUCUUCGUUCAUAGUUCUUCCAAGAUCAAGCCCCGACGGCCCUUGGAUUAACAAUCACCAAUUCAAGAUCAAGCCCCGACGGCCCUUGAAGAAAGUGUUCUUCGUUCUUCGUUCUUCGUUCAUCGUUCUUCGAAGAUCAAGCCCCAACGGCCAUUUGGAUCAACAAUCAUCCACCAAUUCAAGAUCAAAGCCCCGACGACCCUUGAAGAAAGUGAUAUUCGUUCCUCGUUCAUCGUUCUUCCAAGAUCAAGCCCCGACGGCCCUUGGAUCAACCAUCCACCAAUUCAAGAUCAAGCCCCAAAGGCCCUUGAAGAACUUCCACCAAUUCAAGAUCAAGCCCCGACGGUCCUUGAAGAAAGCACCAUCGUUCAGGAACCAAAAUCAUUAGGCAAAAUUCUUGAAGCUUUGAAGCUCUGAAACUCCGAAGCUUUCAAGCAUCCAGGUUCCCGAAGAAUCAAGAAAGCGUUCUUUGUUCUUCGUUCAUAGUUCUUCCAAGAUCAAGCCCCGACGGCCCUUGGAUUAACAAUCACCAAUUCAAGAUCAAGCCCCGACGGCCCUUGAAGAAAGUGUUCUUCGUUCUUCGUUCAUCGUUCUUCGAAGAUCAAGCCCCAACGGCCAUUUGGAUCAACAAUCAUCCACCAAUUCAAGAUCAAAGCCCCGACGGCCCUUGAAGAAAGUGCUCUUCGUUCCUCGUUCAUCGUUCUUCUAAGAUCAAGCCCCAACCAACCAUACACAUAGUGGUAAGGAAGCACCGCAGCACGAUCUUCAGUGCUUGCCGAGUCAGAAACCAUGCUCAAGCCGUUGUAAAUGCUGGCUAAGACCGGAAUAGCGAGGCUAAAAGACUCACCUGCAGCCAUCUUGCUAGCAACUUUGAAAACUCCAGGGCGAACUAAGUUGACGUCGCCUGCGGGGAAAACAAAUUUACAAAGCCAACAAGCUAAGAAAGCAGCCAGGUAAGACUCAUCCACAUGCUCUGGUGCUAUGCUGAGAUCCUCAAAUGCUCUCAACUCGUCAGAAGAGCGACGCCUGGUUGCGCCAAUAACACCGGACGGGUCUGAGUCGCCCUUUGGCCUAGUGGUCUUGUUACGACCAAUUCUCUUCAAAGGCUUAUUAUACCUCAUGGCCUCCCAGUACCAGAAUCGGAUCCAUGAGGAAAUCCUCACGCCUGAUUUACCUCGAGCAUCCUGGAAAAGCCUGUGAUACGCCCAAAACAAAUAGCGGCAACUGGCAGGCAAUCCUCGGUUAUUGCAAAGAGAAAGGUCUUCUGCGCUGGGAACAACCUCGUCGUAAAACUUGCCUUGGAUCGGCAAACCUCCUAUCCUGUGAAGAUCCCAAAGUGAAAUUGACAUCUCCCCUUGCGCUGUGUGAAGUGUGUUGGUGGUCGAACACCAACACUCUAAGAACGCGCGAAUAACGGAAGGAUGGCGAUCGUAACUAAACAAAGACGCAUACACAGCGUGGUAAAGGUCCACCUUAGUGAGCACAUCCUUAGAUCGGCUUAAGACAUCUUCGAGCCACUCCCAAUAAAACUCAUCAAAAACGGCCUCUCCAGCAGUAGACAAGGUACCAUUCCAAGCCUUAGCUCCGAUGCGGAUGUGAUCACUAAGAAGCUUAAAUGAGGCCGAAUGAUUGUCACCGGCAUGGUGCGACGGAUUCAAGAUAAGAAUCUUCGAGAUGCGCGCCUUCUUCUUCGUAUAUGCUUGGACAGAAUCCACCACAUCCCAAGAUACUUCGGAAGACCACGACUUAAUAUGCAUGGAGUUAUCUUUCGCGGGAAGAGCAAGCGCUUUAGGACCGGUCAGUGGCUCGUAAAGCUUCAACGUCGUUCCUCUGUCUUGCAAGUCACCGGCCUGCGCAAGAAUGGUAAGGGUGCCGCCCUUAAAGCACUUAAAAAAUACCAUGACCUCGAAAAAAAAAAUAAAUAAAUAAAUCAGCAGUAACACGGCAAAGCGGGUAGCUACGAGACAGUCCUUCCAAGCGGCAGCAAAAGGCACUACACAACGAAACCCCGUUGCAGUCCCUUGUGCAAACCCUAGGCAGCAGAAGGCACAAAUAUGCUCACACCCUGCUCACUCCAAAUACCACGCCUCUGAAAGCUUCGUAAUUAAAGAUCCCUAGCAUUACGACAAAGAAAUCCAUCAGUGAAGGAGCGCGCAUUAUGAGAAAUUUUAUAUAUGUGCAGACUGGGACAAACAAAGAAAUCCAAAAAAAAUGGGGACACGCUCCCCACCGUUAGAUUGACUUUAAUGAAAUUGUGUGGUUGAGAUUAAAACACAGGCCAUAGAAUCUCAACCACAGGAUUUCAUUUAAGUCAAAUACAACGGUCGGGAGCGUGUCCCCAUUUUUUUUAAAAAAUGGGGAUCCCUCCCCUUAAGCAAUUCCUAUAUAUAUAUAUAUAUAUAUAUAUAUAUGCAUGCAGAUGGCGGGACAUAGAAACAAAUACAUAUAUAUAUAUAUAUAUAUAUAUGCAUGCAGAGGACCCCACGCCAGCCAAAGGAACAAAUGCAUAUAUAUAUAUAUGGAAAGUCAGCAUGCGGAUGACAAGGGAUGGGACAAGCAAACAUAUAUAUAUAUAUAUAUAUAUAUAUAUGCAUGCAGAGGACGCCACACCAAAGGAACAAAUGCAUGUAUAUAUAUGGAAAGUCAGCAUGCGGAUGACAAGUGAUGGGACAAGCAAACAUAUAUAUAUAUGGGAACUUUAACGAAAAGCACCCGGUACUGUUCACUUUAACGAAAAACCACAUUUUUACACUAAAAAGUCAAUCCUGGUACUAUUCACUUUACCCUUUAUUUUGUCCUUAUCAUUAAAACUCAAAGUUUUCAAAUCUUUUCAUUAGUUUUCCUUAUAUAUAUAUAUGCAUACAGUGGACGGCAUCAAAGAACAAAUGCAUAUAUAUAUAUAUACAUGCAUGUGGAUGACAAGACAAGCAAGCAAAUAAAAUAUAUAUAUAUAUAUAUAUAUAUAUAUAUAUAUAUAUAUAUAUAAGCAAGCAAAUAAAAUAUAUAUAUAUAUAUAUAUAUAUAUAUAUAUAUAUAUAUAUAUAUAUAUAUGCAUGCAGAGAUCCAGGUGACAAGGGGAUCUCGAUCAAGAACAGCCUGCAACCAUGCUCACGCCCUCCUGUAAUCCUGCUCUGCGCACCCAAACCACCUCAAACGAAUCCACGCUGUCGUCCUCACGACCGGCCUCUCGAUCAAGAACAGCCUGCAACCCCAAUCUAACCUACGAUCACAUGCUCCCUAGCAUUUCGUUGGAAUGCAAACGGAUCGUCUCCCUACUGCAGAGGGCCAACAUUUCCAACUUGAUUGGGGUUUAGGGUGCAGUUAAUAUCCAAGGAGAGGACCAGAAGAAACUUGAUGUUGUCUCCAAUGGGUGUUUUCUCUUUCUCUCUCUGGUCUCUGUGGCUCAAAGUAGCAGCGGCUGCAAAAAGUUCAAAUGAAAAUGAGGAAGAGGAAGGGGGCACGGUCCACGGUCCUUCAACAAAUGCCAAAAAAAAAAAAAAAAAAAAAAAAAAAAAACAAACAAACAAACCAGUGAUGAUCUGCUCAGUCAGAUGCGAGUGCUUAGAGAAUGGCGGCUGUGCUCAAUGAUAAGGGCAAGGAUGACAAAGGUGAUGCGGCAAGGAUGGUGGUUGUGCAAUGGCUCGACAGUAACAGUAAGAGGCAGCGAGCAUGCAGUAGCUGCACAAUCGGCCGUGAAAUUGUUGCGUAGUUGGGGUGUUUAGAGAAGCAAGCAAACCUGCGCAAAUACGAAGCAGCAAGCUUUGGUGCCUAAAAGCCUUACGGGAAGGCUUACUUAUACACCCCAAAACAGACCAACAUUACAGAACACAUGCCGCGAAUGAUGAUACUCACAUGCAGCAAUCUUUUGUUAAAGCUGGAAAAGCUUUAAACGCCCAUAUUUACCUGCCAGCAAGCAGCAUAUUUGGGGAAAAAACAAAGACAUACAGCUCUAGCUGUAUGUUUGAGAUUGAAUAAUCACCACGUCGGUCAUCUUCCUACCGUCGGAUAUCUAAUGGCCGCUUGGUGUCAGCACAUCGUGUGUUGAUCUUUUGGCCUCAGUGGCCUCUUAUCCUGAUCCGGACGACAAUAUCAAAACAACCAGAUUCAAGGAUCAAGCAGACGAUACACAAGGCAAGGCCAUACUGCAUGAGCUACAAACCGACAGCAUAGAUACUUCUUUGUUACGACAUGGACAUGAGGAGCAUCUGUUCGAGAAGGCGCUCACCAUCUUAGACGAACGAGAAGCACGUGGACGUGCUGACGGUGUCGCUGUCGCUUAAGAAUGAUGUUGACGGUGACGGCACCAAGCUCACCGACACAGGGAUUAAGUAUGUUGAAGAGGCCGUAUUCAAAUGAUGCGUGCUGACGCUGUUCCUGGGUCCGCCACCUCCAUGGCAUACAUUUCCAGGUCAUGCAUCCAUUUUCCCUUAUCUGUUCAUACUUUCUGAGUGGUCAGACAAAGGGAGAUCGGACAUCACUCAAAACGCUCGAAAUCUGAAGAAAAGCAAAGGCAGAGGUGCAAAGCAAAAGUGAAAAGGAAAAGGAAAAGAGAUAAAAAAAUAAUAAUAUUAAAAAAAAAUAAAAUUAUUACGGUUCAUUUUGUCUGCCAAGAGACAGAGAGAGUUGGUAAAAUAAAUAAAUAAAAUAAAAAAAUAAAAUAAAUAAAUAAAAAUAAAGAAAAGAUGUACAUAUAGACACUAAGUGAAAUAAAGCUCAUUUAUUAAUAUUUUCGAUAAAUUACAAAUAUGUACAUAUACAUAAAUAAAAAAAAUAAACAAACGGGAGAGAGCCUUCACGAAGUUUGCUCGGGCGGAGCCUCAGCAGUCGGCGGGGCCACAGAAGGAGGAGGUGUCGGAGGUUGGUCAUUCAGAGCUUCGCUACGCGGUACAGCCCCAGAAGACGAAGGCAAAUGCUGUUGGAACAAACCCACAAACCUCCGAUGAUCAAGUAAAAUCUGACCAUCAGAUUCCUGCAUCUGGUCAAUUUUCCUCUUCAUGUUUGUGGCAUAGUCGUGUGCGAGCCUGUGCAACUAUUUAUUCUCAUGCUUGAGCCCUCUAAUCUCUUGUUUGAGACUCAUCACUUUAGCCGCCAACGAUUCAACUUGACGGGUUCGAGCAAAUAGGCGUUGAGCCAUGUUGGACACAGAACCCGCACACUGCACACUAAGGGCCAGAGACUCCUUAACAGCCAACUCAUCAGACCGCUUGGAAAACAGUCUGCUAUCUUUAGGAGUGACAAGGUUCCGGGCCACCACCGCAGCGGUCAUAUCAUUCUUCAUCACCGAAUCCCCAACGGUAAGAGGACCAGUAGGGGAUAUGAAUGAUGGGCGCCAUAUGUUGUCAGGAGAAGGCGGGACUGCCUCUUCACCAAGGUUCAAAUCGAAACGACGGUCGGAGGGUCCAGACAUUUUCAAAGGUGUUGAAGAAAGAAGAGGUCAGACAGAUCAAGAUCUUAGAAGUGCAAGAAGGGAGUUUCUGCAAGCGAAAAUUCAAGUGUGCUUUGAAACGAACUGCGUGCCUCUAUAAAAAUCAGCACUCAGCGGGCUUUCAGAGAUGGAAGAGGCAAGCUCAGAAUUCGAAGAGGCCAAUUCAAAAAUCGAAGAGGCAAGCUCAGAAAUCGGAGAGACAUCUUGCUUUUCCAGACGCGUCAGCACCCAUCACACGCAAACUCAGCUUUGCGGAAAUCACGGGUGAUUUGUCGAAGCGCCGAUCCCAGAUAUCGAGGAGACGCCAGUCUUUUCCAGACACAUCAGCACCUGUCACAUGCACACUCAGCUUGGCGGAAAUUACGGACAAUUUGUCGAAGAUUGCUGAUAAAGAAGAAAGCACGUGAAGCCAUACUGAUCAAAUCACGCAUUGGUUACUGACACGAGUGAAAGAACAGUACCUCUACAGGUAUUAAGGAACUCCCUAUAACUGUCCACCUUCACCCUCCAUAGCAAGGCAGACAUACGAAACCUUUCUUCAUCUCCGAGAAUGCCUUCCCAACGAAGCCUCUCGAGUCACUCAAUGUUCCUUAUUCCUUGGGGUACCUCUGCAAGCCAAUGACUCCAAAGCAAAAGUAUCUCAUAUCACCAGGGUAUAAAGCAAGAGUAUCUCAUAUCAUGCGUUCUCCCUGUCCUUUCCUUUGUCCUUGUUCUUACCUACAAAGACAAGGAUAAAGAAAACAAUAUGCCGGAACUUCCACUCAAACUCGGGUAAGGAACCGACUGCUUGGAACCCUUCCCUGAUUGCCUACCUAGCACUGCUCUCGAGUACUCGUUUCCCACUGCUGCUGUACUUCCAAAGAAGCUGCCACAUCUGCCUGGAGAACAGAUAAGGCAAAUGAAAAUGAUACCUUGCAGCAUGUGGAGACAAGGUGCAGAAGGAACAAGCAGAGAAGAAUGCAGUCUGCACAGUCAACUCAGCAGAAAGAGUCCGAGCUGAAGAACUCGAGAAGCUGCCAUAUCUGCCUGAAGAAACAAGCAGAGAAGAAUGCCGUAUGCUCAGUCAACUCGGCAGAAAGAGUCUGAGAUGAAGAACUCGAGAAGAUGCCACAUCUGCCUGAGGAACAGAUAAAGGAAAUGAAGAUGAUACCUUGAAGCAUGUGGAGACAAGUGCAACCAAGCACGUACUGAUUCAUCCGCUACUUCUUCAAAAGCAAGAGUAUCUCAUAUCAUCAAAGUUGCAAUCACUCUGACGGUGAAUUCGUUUUGACCCUCAAAUUCUUGGGUCGGUUUACUAGGCGAUGUGGGCUGCACGUGCCGAUUCACCACCAUUGAAUCAAAUCCUUAAAAGAUCAAGUCACCAACUGGAAGAAUAGCCCGUCAAUCUUGAAGAUCAUACCGUUGACCAAACUGCUCAGGUGUGAAUUAGAAAGAUUGAACAGAGCAAUAAGUCGUCACCUUCACCUCGUGCCUGCUUGCCAUGUGUUCGAGUUAACCUUCAAGAAUCAAGCCUCAACGGCCCUUGAAGAAGCUUUCAGCCAAAUUCAAAAUCAAGCCUUGACGGCCCUGGAAGAAAUCACAAGUCCGAUUCAAGAUCAAGUGUCUACCACUCUUGAAUCAAAACCUAGUUCAAGAAUAAGCUGUGGAAAAUCAACAAUUGGAGGAAUCCAGAAAACCCUCCAACCCAGUUCAAGAUCAAAGCUGUGGAAAGUCAACAAGCGCAACAAAAUACGUGCCGAUUCACCCACUACCGAAGCCAAAGAUCAUCUACCACAUGAAACUCCUUGUGGUCCAAUUUCAACCUUCAAGAUCAAGUCUCGACGGCCCUUGAAGAAAUUUCAAACAAAAGUUCAAGAACAAGCCUCAACGGCCCUUGAAGAAAUCUCAAGCCCAAUUCAAGAUCAAGCCUCAACGGCCCUUGAAGAAAUCUCCAGCCCAAUUCAAGAUCAAGCCUCGACGGCCCUUAGAUCGACAUCUACAGUAAGGGACUUCAAAACGCAUCUCUUACACGUGACAAGCACAUGUAUACGACGCGCCUUGAAGUGGGGGCAUUUGUAGACAUCAAAAUUUCGGUAAAUAAAUGUUGACCGAUAAAUCAAAGUGUCAACGCUCAUGUAUUACAUAAAUUUUACACGUAACGUGUGAUUCAACGAAAAUUGAAAUGAGUUGGAAAAGUCAUCAAAUAGGACACAUGUCAACACCUGGCAGAAACGACUUAUUUCGUCUGGGAUAUUAUAUUCAAAAUUAGGCUUUGGAAAAUUCUAUAAAUACAAGCCCAUUUCAUUCAUUUGGGGGACCAAUGGAUAUGACACCUUGAAGCUCUGAAGCUCUGAAACCCCGAAGCUCUCAAGCAUCCAAGUUCCCGAAGAAUCAAGAAAGCCUUCUUCGUUCUUCGUUCAUCGUUCUUCCAAGAUCAAGCCCCGACGGCCUUUGGAUCAACAACAUCAACAAAUCCACACAUCCGACCGUUCUUCAAGAUCAAGCCCCGACGGCCCUUGGAUCAACAACAUCAACAAAUUUACACAUCCAAUCGUUCUUCAAGAUCAAGCCCAAAAGCCCUUUGAAGAUCCGUUCAUCCAUCAACCUUCAAGAUCAAGCCCAAAAGCCAUUGAAGAAACGCUCAUCCUCAAGAUCAAGCCCCAACGGCUCCUUGAAGACCCGCUCAAAAUCCACCUUCAAAUAUCAAGCCCACGGCCCUUGAAGAACGUUCAUCCUUAGAUCAAGCUCAACGGCCCUUGGAUCAAUCGCAUAUCCACAAAUCAACACCUUACGGAGAUUGAAUCAGAGGAUCAAAUAGAAGAGAGAUUGUAACCCAAAAUCAUCAAACACAAAUAUUUGUUUGUGCACGUUAUUUCUUGUCUCUUUCGUUUUCAGGAAUUUUCCGUGUUCACAGCGUCAUCAUCCAAACCCACAUUUGGUUAAAUUUUCAUUUUCAGUAUACUCAAAACACGAUGGUGCUAUGUUACUGUGUAAGUGGAGGGAAGUUUUUUCAAGUGUCCAUCCAUUUAUAUAUGACAUAUGUGCCCGUGUCUCAGGCACUGGAGCUUCUAAAGGUGUGCACUAACGUACUCGAAGAAGUAGAGAAAUCCUUCGUAUUCCCAAAUCCAAGACCGGUGCCACGGCUUUCUCUGCUGGAAGAACAAGCUGCAAAGCAACCAAGGGGUGGACGAAUACGUGUGGCAAGACGUGACGACGCUGUUGAAGGCUUAGGCGACAUUGCUGGAGACGAGGGCGAAAUUGCUGCUUUGAGGCGGGCAUUUCGACAGCGACGAAGAGCUGUGCGGGACUUGUAGCAGCAUCAGAGCAGUGAUGCUUUGGCAUAACCAUGCCCAGACAUUGGCAGCCCGAGAAACUUUGGCAAAGUUAGUGAGACUGAGAAGCAAGAUUUAAUGAAAUGAAAAUCUCUGUUGCUUUGGACACAAGCAAUCCUUCGUUCCAUGAGGAACUCGGUUUUGUUAACACUUGUAAUCAAAUCUUAGUUUAGUUUGUAAUAUCAGCAAUUUAGUAGACCUUAUAACUUCUUCAAGUAAGAGAAUAAGAGCACAGAAAUUUGGCAGUUUUUUUUUUCCUUCAAUUUUGCACAAUAAAAUUUCAUUUUUUACAGGCGAUUUUAUACUUUAAACUAACUAAAUUGCAGAAAAAAGCUCGAGUGCGUAUGAAUGAAUGCAUUUACAUAUUAGAGAAUACAUUUGCUCUAGCCAAACAAGCGUUAAAAUCAAGGGUCCCAUUUUGAUAGAUAAAGCAAUAAAAGGUUUGCCAGGUGUGAAGUGACAUGGUCCAUAACAUGUGUUAUGGUUAGGGUGACAAGGACCUUUCUUCUAUCACUUUAAAUAGACUGCAUACACACUUAAGUGCAAUUCAGUACAACUAAAUCAAGGUAAUAUUUGAGCAUGAACAUAGAAAUUCGGAUUUGGUUAGAUAAGUUGGUCAGAGCAGUGUUUUUGGUUACUUUUUAUCCGAAUUCAAAUUUUCUCCUUGUGAGUUAGAGUAAAAAGGCGACCACGAGCCAACAAGACUCUCCACUUUAUGAGAGUUAGGUUAUGAAUGUUUAUCGUAGGCAGCCUUAACCUUGUUUUGCAAAGAGACUGUUUUCAAGACUCGAACCCGUAGUCUUUUGGUUACAAAGAAGCAACAAUUCCGUUACGCCAAGAUUCGCCCUCGAAUGAUUUAGCGACACAAGUGAAAAUGAAAUCAAAUGUUUUCAUUCCAUGAAAAUAGAAUCCACAAAUCAAUGUUACAAAGGGAAACACAGUCCAUUGUCAAUUACAUAUUUACACACACAAAUCAAUCCAACCCAACACACCAAAAUCCAAAAAACCACCCCAAAAAAAUUCAAAAAUAUUAAAUUAAAAUAAAUUAAAACGACAAACAUUUCUUUGUCGCUUGUUUUGAAGUCACACAAAAUUACACACCAAACCCGAAUUAAAAAAAAAAACAAAUAAUUGAAUUAUCAGACUGAUGAAGAUGUGGGCCCAAUCAAUCCCUGAGAAGCAGCUUCAUUCUCGUUGAGAAACAAGCCUUCUGUGUUCCGAAGCAGCCCGUGGACCCCACACAACACAAGCCCAACUCCGAGGCCCAAUGUAACGUUCACAAGCCCACUGCUCGCCCAAGCAACCAAACCAGAAACAACCACCAGGCCCGCCAUCACGGCCCAAUCGCUGACGUGGUGACCCCACACAUCAAGUGGGUCUUCCCUAAAAACAUAGAUCAACAGCCACAACCCCACGACGGCCGCCGUCGCCAAUAGUCAUCUGGGGCUCCCGAUGAGGGAUAGCGCCCCGCAUGAUCCGAUCAAUAACAAGUAAUUGACCCGGAAGUGGUUGGCGUUGGUCUGGAUACGGGUCAGGGCGGAGGAUAAGGAGUCGGGUCGGGAGAUCGAGGAGGCGAAUUCGGACGAAGGGCGGCGGCGGGAAACGGCGUCGUUGAGAUUUUUGAUGGAUCGGGUGAUGGCGUCGGAGCCCGAGACGGAAAUGGGUAUGCUGGUAUAGGUUGUUGCUGUGACGGAGUGUGACUGUGGCUUUGACGGCGACAUUUUUUGGAGUGGGAGUUUGAAUGUUUGACUCGUCAACCUACCCUUCAACUCUGUGAAGUCCGUGUGACUGGGAUUUUAUUCCAUCCGAUCCAAAUUGUGGAGAUCUUAUAAAUUCCUACAUUUUAACUAUUUAUCGUGCAUUGUAUAAUUAAAAAUUAUUUAAUUUUUUAUUUAAAAUUGAACAUAAAUACUUGAUGAAAAUUGAUAAUACGAUAUAUGAUGAACGGUUAAAAUAUGAGGAUCGGAAGACGAUCGUCUUCCCGUGAGGCUGUGACAGUCUCUGUCAGUUUGAUUGGUUGGUGAGUGGGAUUGUGUAGGACAGACAGGGAAGAUGAAGACUUGGGUUGGUUUGUGGAGUUUCCCUACUUUGUAGUAAAAUGGUAAAAAAUGUUGUGUACAUUGUGACAUUUUACAAUUACUUAGCCCCUUAGACCAUCUUCAAUUCUUGGGUUAAAAGCCAAAUUUUUUAGCCCAGAAACAUCUUUUCUGCUCCAAUCCUUCUGCCCUAAAAUUUUAGCCCGAAAUUAUUAAAGAAUGAACUUAGGCUAAUUUUUUUCUUAAAUUAAUUUUAAAAAAAAUUAAAUAAAUAUGUAGAUUAUUGUAAAUUAAUUUUAUGAACAUUUUAAUCUAAAAAAAUUUAAAUUCCGAUAAACAUUUGGCAUUUAGCCCGGGGGGAAAGCUGAGGGGUAUUUGGCCCAGAAAUAACAUUUGGCAUUUAGCCUAAAAUUUUAACAUGGGUUGGAAAGUGUUUGGGGGGGGGGUAAUUUGACUUUUAGCCCAGGUUUGGAGAUAGUCUUAAGAGAAAGGGAAUUCUAUUUUUUUUAAAUGGAAAUUAAUUGUGGGAUUCACUUUGCAUUGAAUUUUAACGAUUCGAACUGUUUAUUAUGUAAGUCUCGAUUUAUAGAUCAUCCUUAUAAAAAUUCAAUUCAAUUCGAAAUCAUUUGCUUAUUUAAUUAUCAAAAUAAAAUUUCAAAAUUUGUUGGAUAACAAAAUGUUCGUAAAUAUUUGUUAGCUUUUGCUUAAUUUAAUCGGGUUUUUCUAUGAAUCAAACCGAACUCUUUUCAGUAAUCCUGUAUGUUGGUUUUGUGGGCCAUCUUUGUUGCUUCCAAUCUGUCGAAACAUGGAUCCAUGAUGAUGAUGAUGCCUUUUGAUAAAUUUUCACCUUCUUUUUCCUUCUUAUUUUCAAGUCACUAAUGAGGAUUUGGUAUUUUGGCACAAAAAAGAAA